GUGGGGAAUAUUGGGCAAUGGGGGAAACCCUGACCCAGCGACGCCGCGUGAGGGAAGAAGGCCUUAGGGUCGUAAACCUCUGUUGUGUGGGAAGAAGAGCGUGACGGUACCACACGAGGAAGUCCCGGCUAACUACGUGCCAGCAGCCGCGGUAAUACGUAGGGGACGAGCGUUGUCCGGAUUUACUGGGCGUAAAGUGCGCGUAGGCGGUCAUUUAAGUCAGCUGUGAAAUGGUUUGGCUUAACCGGAUCAUGCGGUUGAAACUGGCUGACUGGAGUGCUGGAGAGGCAAGUGGAAUUCCCAGUGUAGCGGUGAAAUGCGUAGAUAUUGGGAAGAACACCGGUGGCGAAGGCGACUUGCUGGCCAGCAACUGACGCUGAGGCGCGAAAGCCAGGGGAGCAAACGGGAUUAGAUACCCUAGUAGUCC
Molecule: ribosomal RNA, 427 nt
Filed under: uncultured bacterium
Lineage: Bacteria
Description: partial 16S ribosomal RNA
Rfam family: Bacterial small subunit ribosomal RNA
Source: RNAcentral